AGCAGCUUGGCGCAGUGGAAGCGCGGUAUGUGAUUUCAACUCAUAACCCGGAGGUCAUCAGAUCGAAACUGAUAGCUGCUA
Molecule: transfer RNA, 81 nt
Filed under: Fusarium oxysporum f. sp. vasinfectum 25433
Lineage: Eukaryota; Fungi; Ascomycota; Sordariomycetes; Hypocreales; Nectriaceae
Description: tRNA-Sup (TCA) (tRNA-Sup-TCA-1-1)
Source: RNAcentral